RNAcentral lists this ribosomal RNA (547 nucleotides) under uncultured Glomeromycotina. RNAcentral describes it as "SSU rRNA". It matches the Rfam family "Eukaryotic small subunit ribosomal RNA", at positions 548 to 1098 of the family's 1831-position model. The record is from RNAcentral. Lineage: Eukaryota; Fungi; Glomeromycota.
UUGGAGGGCAAGUCUGGUGCCAGCAGCCGCGGUAAUUCCAGCUCCAAUAGCGUAUAUUAAAGUUGUUGCAGUUAAAAAGCUCGUAGUUGAAUUUCGGGGUCAGAUUGUCGGUCGAGCCUCGGUACGCACUGGUAUUAUUGGUUCCUACCUUCUGAAGAACCGCGAUGUCAUUAAUUUGGUGUCGUGGGGAAUCAGGACUGUUACUUUGAAAAAAUUAGAGUGUUUAAAGCAGGCUUACGCUUGAAUACAUUAGCAUGGAAUAAUGAAAUAGGACGUUUGAUUCUAUUUUGUUGGUUUCUAGGAUUGACGUAAUGAUUAAUGGGGAUAGUUGGGGGCAUUAGUAUUCAAUUGUCAGAGGUGAAAUUCUUGGAUUUAUUGAAGACUAACUACUGCGAAAGCAUUUGCCAAGGAUGUUUUCAUUAAUCAAGAACGAAAGUUAGGGGAUCGAAGACGAUCAGAUACCGUCGUAGUCUUAACCAUAAACUAUGCCGACUAGGGAUCGGACGAUGUUAAAUUUUAUUGACUCAUUCGGCGCCUUACGGGAAAC